GGGGACAGCCAACCAAUGCUACGUGUGUGUGUCGCGGGAGUGGGAGACAGCUGCGUACGUCCGCUCCCGGCACAACACAAGCAUCGAGCUCUGCGACAACUUCAGGGUUGGCGACAGCCGCUUCAUCCGCAACUGUCAGCCGCCGUUCUUAGGAUGCCUUACAACAAUCAACGGAAAACAGAUAACCCGUCAGUGCAGUGAGGACAGCUGGCAAGAAUGUCACAAUUUGAAUGGAGUUCACUAUUGUUACUGUCAGGACUCACUGUGUAAUGGCAACCUCGAGGAAACAUAUGCUGACCUGGGAUCCCUCACGGAUGAUGAUGACUAUGCUUCAAUUAUUGAAGGCAGUGGUGGUGGUGAUGGAAACAUAGAAUACGUUUAUACCCCUGUAGAGACAACUGAAAGCAAAGAGCAGUCACUUGCUUGUGCUAUUAUCCCAUCAUUUUGGUUCUGUUUUUUCUUAAAUUUGGCAGCAGCCAUUUUCCGUUAAGUAUUUAUCCAACUCUCUUCUCUAUCAUUAUUAACCCUGACAAACCACAGUCCCACUACUUCAACAAUGUUGCAACAUAUUCCAUAUGCCAAUUAUAGACAUGUUAUAUGUAAUAUAACCCUGUAGAGUCACACCUUACAGCAACCCAGUAGGAACCCCAAUAAAUGUAGUCAGUGAAAUGGUGACAAUUGAAAAACCAGAAUCAUCUUAUUUAGUAGUUUAAAACCGCUAUAAAUGAAUUCUCAAGAAAUAUUAAAUGUUGUGUGAAAAAAUUUGCCCAUAAACAAAAUAUAAACAUACAUCCCUUAGCAACACAGAACAUGAAUGGCUUCUGCAUUAUUUUUUGUUCCACUAAUUAUGUCCCCACAUGUCUGACAAGACUUUGUCUUUUUUUUCUGAAUUUCUUUUCUCCUUCUUUUGAUUUUAGUUCUUAGGAAAUCUAGUUUUCAACCACCUUUCUUCUAGAAACAGCCAUAGCUCUCAUUAUUUGCACAACAUUACAAUGCUGUCAUUUUCCUGGCAUUUGCCUCUUAUAGGUAUAUAAUAAAGUCAGUUAAAAUUCACUCAUCAUUGAUGUCUACUGACCCCUCUGAUGAAAGUUCUUGGUCAAUUGAAGAAUAGUAAAGUAUGUCUAUUAUAGCAAAUUAUCAAGUCCAAAUAUGAUGUAUAUGACCUUUCAAAGUCCCUGUAAACAAAUUUCAUGCUGUACAAAACAAAGUUGUAUACAAAAAAUUUAUUAAGUAAUGCAUACAUUAAUUAUAUAAAUGUCACUGUUAUUGGUGUGGCUAUCAUAUCUCACAGAAUUAGCCACCUGUUACCAAAGAAUGUAGAGGUAAAUUUUAGUGUGAACAUGUGUCUGUGAUAUUUAUUUUUAACUUUUUAUCACUGUCUGCUAAUAACAAAUACUAAUGUUCUAGAUUAUAUGAUUUAUCCACCAGGGAUCUCAUUUAAUUUUCAUGCAAUAUAUUCUAUAAGCAAAAGACAUUUAUUUCUAAUGCAAUUACUAAUCUAUCUUUCUGUGAUCUCAGUACGAAAAAUUUCAUACAAAAAUGAACUUGCCUCAAAUUUACUUGGUGAACUGGAGAACUAUUGUCACUAUUGUUGGUAACUUCUAGAGAACAAAGAAAACUACAAAAAGCCCCAUUAUUGACUAAUAAAAAUGGCCCAUGACAUCUAAAAUAUAUUUUUGUCUAGCUUUGUCUGAGGGCUACUUAUAUUAAAAUUACAAUGAAAUAAUACUAAUAUAUUUUCAUGGUUAAAUGGUCCCUUUGUACGUUUUUUGAUCUGUAUGAUUGGAGAUCUAUGCCUUUGCAAUAGUAAAGUAAGCAGCAACAUUCUGAAGGCCAUAUUGCAUGAGCCUGAUCUCAUAAAUUAUGUGCCUUCAUUCACUACCGUUCCAUCAUUUGUAUGGACAGAAACAUGCUCAGUUAUAAUAAUAUGACUCUCACAUUAGCAUUUCAGAUACAAAGAACAGAUGCUCAAUUUCUUUAGAUAGUUGUAAAAUUUCGUCCAGUUCAUAGUCAUCAAUAUACCUGUAUAUUUCUCCAAACAUACUCCAUGUAUAACAACUAUAGCAGCACACUGUAGUGCUCUGAAAAUGUCUGUCUCUCAGAUAUUGUCUUCAUUACAUCAAAACUUGGCUAUAGUUGUUAUACUAAGACUUCUUUUCUACUUCGGAGAAAUUGUACUAUUUAUGUUUCAGCAUAACAUUUCAUUGUGAAAUAAAAUUUCUAUGCUGUUGUUAAGAACUACAAAAUGUUGACAUAGUUUGGUAACCUAGAUCAUUCUUGGAUACGAGUCAUGUGUCUAUAUAAAAUUGGCAAAUCUGAUCAGAACAGAUGGCCCUUUACAAAUAUUGUGCUCUGUCUACAAGAAAUUUUUUUCCUACAAGAAGCUCAAGCAGUAACUAGCUAGAAUUCUUCCAAUGUCUUUUUAGUUCUUGAAAUGAAAGGUUGCCCCAGUUGGCAAUUAUACUCUUGUAAAGCUGUUGCUCUGAGCAGGAAAAAAGUAUACUACCCUCUCAUUACCUUAAUUUCUUUCUGUCAAAUCUAUAGCUUCAGCCUAUUCUUUUUUUCAUCAUUCCAUGAAAUUUAAGUUCAGUUCAGUGCAUCAUAUUCUUCAAUUUCAUUGCUGUUCUUCCUCCAUUCCCCUAUGUUCCCUGGUGGUACCUGUCAAUCACAUACUUACCUCAGCUAUAUAUCCUGGAAGUUGUAACUUGUCAUCACAUAACAACUUAUAGUUUGGAUCAAAUGAAAUUCUUCAUUUUUAAAUGUUAAACUGUAGCCCGUUAUGUACCCAGUGUUAGUAAUCUUCCAUCAAAAGCAUACGAGAGAUUGUAUUGUCACUUUAUAGCUGUUAUUCAAGACACAAAAAAAUUAGUCAUUAGUUACCAGUGGACAUGGAUUUAUAUCAGUGGGGCAAGUUGAUAAUUUGUGUCAGACUGAGAUUUGAAUCUGGGUCUCCUGUUUACUUGGCAAAUGUGCUGACCACUAUGCAUCCGGACACACUGGUCACCACAAUCGAGUGGGCUACCCUAGCUCACCUCCCAUCAGAUCCAAAUUCUCAACUUAUACCACGCACCAAUGAUGUAGUGCCCCUGCUCACUAGCCUCAUUACUAGCAUCUUACCAGUUCCCGUAAGAGUUCGAGCUUGGUGCGCAUCUGCACUGAAGGGAUCAUUGCUGUCAUCACCAUAAUUGUAUGUGACACCAGAUGUUCAGGGUGAGCACAAAGUCUUGCGCUGAUUAUAAAAAUUUAUAACAGAAUAACUGUUUGACAUAAUAAAUUACAUUUGAUGCCAUUACAUAGCUUAGUGUUACUAGUUUUUUUUAAGACCACUUAUGUUAGUAAACCUCAACAUGUGCUCCCCUGGUAGCUCGGAGAAUGUUGAGGCGGUAUCCCAGUUCCUGUCAGGUGUUUUGUAACAUGUGUUCUGUCACAGUACCCACAGCUGCUUGUAUCCUAGCCUUCAGUUUGUCGACAUCAGCAACUGGUGUGAUGAAGACUCUGUCCUUGGUAUAGCCCCACAAAAAAAGUCAAGGGUCGUAAUGUCUGGAGAGCAGGGUGGCCAGGGUGUUGGACCAUUCCUUCCAAUCCACCGUUCCGGACAUUACUCCCCUCUCCAGACAUUACACCCCUUUACUUUUUUUUUCUGGGGCUAUACCAAGGACAGAGUCUUCAUCACACCAGUUGUUGAUGUUGAUGAACUGAAGGCUAGGAUACAACCUGCUGUGGGUACUGUGACAGAACACACGUUACGAAACACCUAGCGGGAACUGGAAUACCGCCUUGACAUUCUCUGAGCUACCAAGGGAGCACAUGUUGAGGUUUACUAACGUAAGUGGUCUU
Molecule: long non-coding RNA, 3837 nt
Organism: Schistocerca nitens (vagrant locust)
Lineage: Eukaryota; Metazoa; Arthropoda; Insecta; Orthoptera; Acrididae
Exons: 2
Source: RefSeq, a predicted model, not a curated record